This 465-nucleotide ribosomal RNA is filed under the name uncultured Klebsiella sp. Its description in RNAcentral is "bacterial SSU rRNA". It matches the Rfam family "Bacterial small subunit ribosomal RNA", at positions 338 to 795 of the family's 1533-position model. Lineage: Bacteria; Pseudomonadati; Pseudomonadota; Gammaproteobacteria; Enterobacterales; Enterobacteriaceae. The record is from RNAcentral.
CCUACGGGCGGCUGCAGUGGGGAAUAUUGCACAAUGGGCGCAAGCCUGAUGCAGCCAUGCCGCGUGUGUGAAGAAGGCCUUCGGGUUGUAAAGCACUUUCAGCGGGGAGGAAGGCGGUGAGGUUAAUAACCUCAUCGAUUGACGUUACCCGCAGAAGAAGCACCGGCUAACUCCGUGCCAGCAGCCGCGGUAAUACGGAGGGUGCAAGCGUUAAUCGGAAUUACUGGGUGUAAAGCGCACGCAGGCGGUCUGUCAAGUCGGAUGUGAAAUCCCCGGGCUCAACCUGGGAACUGCAUUCGAAACUGGCAGGCUAGAGUCUUGUAGAGGGGGGUAGAAUUCCAGGUGUAGCGGUGAAAUGCGUAGAGAUCUGGAGGAAUACCGGUGGCGAAGGCGGCCCCCUGGACAAAGACUGACGCUCAGGUGCGAAAGCGUGGGGAGCAAACAGGAUUAGAUACCCGAGUAGUC